GAUAUUAAAUGAAUCCUUUUACAUCAUUCAUGUCCUUUCAUUUAACAACUAUAAUCAUCAAAGUACAAAAGAUGAUAUAUCAAAAGGGGUAUGCAACUAUGAAAUGAAACAUCUCGGGCGGUCUCUACCUAGGGCGCGAUGCCCUUACCGCGGUCGUCUGCCGGCUCGCUCGGUCCCGGCUCUGUGAAAAUAGUGGGGUGAGAACUACAACAAAGUUCCCAGUGGGUUUGGCAACCAACCACGCCGACUAUCCCACUAGGUCUAA
Molecule: long non-coding RNA, 265 nt
Filed under: Ananas comosus (pineapple)
Lineage: Eukaryota; Viridiplantae; Streptophyta; Magnoliopsida; Poales; Bromeliaceae
Description: long non-coding RNA (ACOM_LNC019763)
Source: RNAcentral